Long non-coding RNA from Oncorhynchus kisutch (coho salmon), 1704 nucleotides. RefSeq lists it as uncharacterized. The transcript has 3 exons. The record is from RefSeq and is a predicted model, not a curated record. NCBI's taxonomy places the organism in Eukaryota, Metazoa, Chordata, Actinopteri, Salmoniformes, Salmonidae.
UGAAGACAGACAGACAGAGAUACAGGUCAAAAGGUCGUUCCAGACCCUGUCUACUCAGCAGUGAAGACAGACAGACAGAGAUACAGGUCAGAAGGUCGUUCCAGACCCUGUCUACUCAGCAGUGAAGACAGACAGAGAUACAGGUCAAAAGGUUGUUCCAGACCCUGUCUACUCAGCAGUGAAGACAGACAGACAGAGAUACAGGUCAGAAGGUCGUUCCAGAACCUGUCUACUCAGCAGUGAAGACAGACAGAAAGAGAUACAGGUCAGUAGGUCGUUCCAGACCCUGUCUACUCAUCGGUGAAGACAGACAAACGGAGAUACAGGUCAAAAGGUCGUUCCAGACCCUGUCUACUCAGCAGUGAAGACAGACAGACAGAGAUACAGGUCAGAAGGUCGUUCCAGACCCUGUCUACUCAGCAGUGAAGACAGACAGAGAUACAGGUCAAAAGGUUGUUCCAGACCCUGUCUACUCAGCGGUGAAGACAGACAGAGAUACAGGUCAAAAGGUCGUUCCAGACCCUGUCUACUCAGAGGUGAAGACAAACAGACAGAGAUACAGGUCAGAAGGUCGUUCCAGAACCUGUCUACUCAGCAGUGAAGACAGAUAGACAUAGAUACAGGUCAGAAGGUCGUUCCAGACCCUGUCUACUCAGCAGUGAAGACAGACAGAGAUACAGGUCAGAAGGUUGUUCCAGACCCUGUCUACUCAGCGGUGAAGACAGACAGACAGAGAUACAGGUAGAGCUGUAUCUGGAUCCAGGGACGUAACGUACAGACUGAGUGACCCUGUUCAUCAGAACGUUAUGGUGGAUGGAAGAAGAUGCUCUCUUCAGCUGCGGUGAAUAACCACAACCCUGUCAGUCCAUCUCUUUACUUCUCCUUUCUCUUAUCUUCUCUCUCCCUCCUCCCCUUUUCACACCAACAGACUUAUUUUUAGACGCUGCAGCCUUGACCUCCAUCAACAGCAACAGAGAGGUGUGAAGUUUCCACAACACAGUUAGAGUUAGUUUAUCAUGAGAACAUACAGACACCACUGACUGGAACUAUCAACAACAAGAGUUGGUUUAUCAUGAGAACAUACAGACACCACUGACUGGAACUAUCAACAACAAGAGUUAGUUUAUCAUGAGAACGUACAGACACCACUGACUGGAACCAGCUGACAGUAUCAGGUGUAAAGACUUCAUUACUACUAACAGAAGGAAAGUUGUAGUGUUUUGUCCAUGAUGAAUGAUGUAAAGGCUUCAUUACUACUAACAGAAGGAAAGUUGUAGUGUUAUGUCCAUGAUGAAUGAUGUAAAGACUUCAUUCCUACUAACAGAAGGAAAGUUGUAGUGUUUUGUCCAUGAUGAAUGAUGUAAAGGUUUCAUUACUACUAACAGAAGGAGAGUUGUAGUGUUUUGUCCAUGAUGAAUGAUGUAAAGGCUUCAUUACUACUAACAGAAGGAGAGUUGUAGUGUUUUGUCCAUGAUGAAUGAUGUAAAUACUUCAUUACUACUAACAGAAGGACAGUUGUAGUGUUUUGUCCAUGAUGAAUGAUGUAAAGACUUCAAUGUGUUUUAUAUUGAGCUGCUCUGUUAAAUUCUGUUUGUUCAUGUGAAAUUGGAAAGUGUAUUUUUCUAUAAUGUAAUUGUGUGUGUUUAUCUUGAGCAACACCGUUGUAUGGUUGCCAACUUGUCAAAUAAAGCUUCCUAAAAUGUG